GAGCCUGAGAAACGGCUACCACAUCNNNGGAUGGCAGCAGGCGCGCAAAUUACCCAAUCCCGACACGGGGAGGUAGUGACAAUAAAUAACAAUACGGGGUUCUUUAGGAUCUCGUAAUUGGAAUGAGUACAAUUUAAAUCUCUUAACGAGGAACAAUUGGAGGGCAAGUCUGGUGCCAGCAGCCGCGGUAAUUCCAGCUCCAAUAGCGUAUANNNAAGUUGUUGCAGUUAAAAAGCUCGUAGUUGAAUUUCGGGGUUAGUAGGUUGGUCAUGCCUCUGGUAUGUACUGGUCUCACUGAUUCCUCCUUCCUUAUGAACCGUAAUGCCAUUAAUUUGGUGUUGCGGGGAAUUUGGACUGUUACUUUGAAAAAAUUAGAGUGUUUAAAGCAAGCUAACGCUUGAAUACAUUAGCAUGGAAUAAUGAAAUAGGACGUUCGAUCUUAUUUUGUUGGUUUCUAGGAUUGACGUAAUGAUUAAUAGGGAUAGUUGGGGGCAUUAGUAUUCAAUUGUCAGAGGUGAAAUUCUUGGAUUUAUUGAAGACUAACUACUGCGAAAGCAUUUGCCAAGGAUGUUUUCAUUAAUCAAGAACGAAAGUUAGGGGAUCGAAGACGAUCAGAUACCGUCGUAGUCUUAACCAUAAACUAUGCCGACUAGGGAUCGGAUGAUGUUAAUUUUUUAAUGACUCAUUCGGCGCCUUACGGGAAC
Molecule: ribosomal RNA, 704 nt
Filed under: uncultured fungus
Lineage: Eukaryota; Fungi
Description: SSU rRNA
Rfam family: Eukaryotic small subunit ribosomal RNA
Source: RNAcentral